Molecule: ribosomal RNA, 253 nt
Filed under: uncultured bacterium
Lineage: Bacteria
Description: partial 16S ribosomal RNA
Rfam family: Bacterial small subunit ribosomal RNA
Source: RNAcentral
UACGGAGGGGACUAGCGUUGUUCGGAAUUACUGGGCGUAAAGCGCGCGUAGGCGGAUUUGCAAGUCGGGGGUGAAAUCCCGAGGCUCAACCUCGGAACUGCCUUCGAUACUGCAAAUCUCGAGUCCGGAAGAGGUGAGUGGAAUUCCUAGUGUAGAGGUGAAAUUCGUAGAUAUCAAGUGGAACACCAGUGGCGAAGGCGAAUCCCUGGAAAAUACCUGACACUGAGGCACGAAAGCUAGGGGAGCAAACAGG